UGCAGUCGAGGGGCAGCGCAGGUAGCAAUACUGGGCGGCGACCGGCAAACGGGUGCGGAACACGUACGCAACCUUCCUUUCAGCGGGGAAUAGCCCAUAGAAAUGUGGAUUAAUACCCCAUUAGAUCGUGGACCGGCAUCGGUCAGCGAUUAAAGCUCCGGCACUGAGAGAUGGGCGUGCGUCUGAUUAGGUAGUUGGUGAGGUAACGGCUCACCAAGCCGACGAUCAGUAACUGGCGUGAGAGCGCGACCAGUCACACGGGCACUGAGACACGGGCCCGACUCCUACGGGAGGCAGCAGUAAGGAAUAUUGGUCAAUGGACGCAAGUCUGAACCAGCCAUGCCGCGUGGAGGAUGAAGGUCCUCUGGAUUGUAAACUUCUUUUAUCUGGGAAGAAAUGCCAUUUUUCUAAAUGGUUUGACGGUACCAGAUGAAUAAGCACCGGCUAACUCCGUGCCAGCAGCCGCGGUAAUACGGAGGGUGCAAGCGUUAUCCGGAUUCACUGGGUUUAAAGGGUGCGUAGGCGGAAUUGUAAGUCCGUGGUGAAAUCUCCGAGCUUAACUCGGAAACUGCCGUGGAUACUAUAGUUCUUGAAUGUUGUGGAGGUUAGCGGAAUAUGUCAUGUAGCGGUGAAAUGCUUAGAUAUGACAUAGAACACCGAUUGCGAAGGCAGCUGGCUACACAAAUAUUGACGCUGAGGCACGAAAGCGUGGGGAUCAAACAGGAUUAGAUACCCUGGUAGUCCACGCCCUAAACGAUGAUUACUCGACAUUUGCGAUAUACAGCAAGUGUCUGAGCGAAAGCAUUAAGUAAUCCACCUGGGAAGUACGAACCGCAAGGUUGAAAACUCAAAGGAAUUGACGGGGGGUCCCCACCAAGCGGUGGAGCAUGUGGUUUAAUUCCAUGAUACCCCAGGGAACCUUACCUGGGGCUAAAAUGCUGGUGGACCG
RNAcentral lists this ribosomal RNA (949 nucleotides) under uncultured bacterium. RNAcentral's name for it is "bacterial SSU rRNA". It matches the Rfam family "Bacterial small subunit ribosomal RNA", at positions 56 to 998 of the family's 1533-position model. The record is from RNAcentral.